UAGGGAAUAUUGGACAAUGGGGGCAACCCUGAUCCAGCAAUGCCGCGUGAGUGAUGAAGGCCUUAGGGUUGUAAAGCUCUUUCGCGCGCGACGAUGAUGACGGUAGCGCGAGAAGAAGCCCCGGCUAACUUCGUGCCAGCAGCCGCGGUAAUACGAAGGGGGCGAGCGUUGUUCGGAAUUACUGGGCGUAAAGGGCGCGCAGGCGGCUCUUCAAGUCAGGCGUGAAAGCCCCGGACUUAACCUGGGAAUUGCGCUUGGGACUGGAGGGCUUGAGUACGGGAGAGGAGAGUGGAAUUCCCAGUGUAGAGGUGAAAUUCGUAGAUAUGGGGAAGAACACCGGUGGCGAAGGCGGCUCUCUGGACCGUAACUGACGCUGAGGCGCGAAAGCGUGGGGAGCAAACAGG
This 404-nucleotide ribosomal RNA is filed under the name uncultured bacterium. RNAcentral describes it as "bacterial SSU rRNA". It matches the Rfam family "Bacterial small subunit ribosomal RNA", at positions 355 to 776 of the family's 1533-position model. The record is from RNAcentral.